UACGAAGGGGGCUAGCGUUGCUCGGAAUUACUGGGCGUAAAGCGCACGUAGGCGGCUUUCUAAGACGGGGGUGAAAUCCUGGAGCUCAACUCCAGAACUGCCUUCGAUACUGGAAAGCUCGAGUCCGGGAGAGGUGAGUGGAACUGCGAGUGUAGAGGUGAAAUUCGUAGAUAUUCGCAAGAACACCAGUGGCGAAGGCGGCUCACUGGCCCGGUACUGACGCUGAGGUGCGAAAGCGUGGGGAGCAAACAGG
This 253-nucleotide ribosomal RNA is filed under the name uncultured bacterium. RNAcentral describes it as "partial 16S ribosomal RNA". It matches the Rfam family "Bacterial small subunit ribosomal RNA", at positions 524 to 776 of the family's 1533-position model. The record is from RNAcentral.